AUGAGUGACAUUGAGGAUGGAAACUAUGAAGGGCGGGGGUCACGCUCCCCAUCUAAAUCGGAUCGUGGGAGUCCAGCUCGGGUCAGGUCGGAGAGCAGGUCCGGCACCCCGAGCCCAACCCGGGCCGCCAAACGCUCCGAGUCCAGAUCCCGCUCUCGGUCAAAAUCUAGGUCUCGUUCAAGGCGGCACUCAAACCGCCGCUAUAGCCGCUCACGCUCUCGGUCCUAUUCCCACCGGAGGAAGUCCCGCUCUCGUUCCUACAGCCAAGAAUACCGCCGCAGGAGGAGCCAGAGUACUUCCCCUGCAUCAAACCGGCGCCGUCACACUGGCAGCAGGAGCCAUGACUUGACAAAAGAAGCAUACAGUCAUGGCGGUGAUGCUGAUGUUAGGGUAUGUGGACCUUCUAACAUAUUGUGA
Molecule: long non-coding RNA, 417 nt
Filed under: Sparus aurata (gilthead seabream)
Lineage: Eukaryota; Metazoa; Chordata; Actinopteri; Spariformes; Sparidae
Description: lncRNA (ENSSAUG00010020939.1)
Source: RNAcentral